This 332-nucleotide ribosomal RNA is filed under the name uncultured bacterium. Its description in RNAcentral is "bacterial SSU rRNA". It matches the Rfam family "Bacterial small subunit ribosomal RNA", at positions 30 to 361 of the family's 1533-position model. The record is from RNAcentral.
AUUGAACGCUGGCGGCAUGCUUUACACAUGCAAGUCGAACGGGGUGAGGGGCGAACUCCUCAUUCAGUGGCGAACGGGUGAGUAAUGCAUCGGAACGUGUCCCGUACGUGGGGGAGUAACUCGGCGGAAAGCCGUGCUAAUACCGCAUAUGCUCUACGGAGGAAAGUGGGGGACCUGCAAGGGCCUCACGCUAUGGGAGCGGCCGAUGUCCGAUUAGCUUGUUGGCGGGGUAAGGCCCACCAAGGCGACGAUCGGUAGCUGGUCUGAGAGGAUGAUCAGCCACACUGGGACUGAGACACGGCCCAGACUCCUACGGGAGCAGCAGUGGGGAA